RNAcentral lists this ribosomal RNA (491 nucleotides) under uncultured bacterium. RNAcentral describes it as "partial 16S ribosomal RNA". It matches the Rfam family "Bacterial small subunit ribosomal RNA", at positions 29 to 506 of the family's 1533-position model. The record is from RNAcentral.
AGUGAACGCUGGCGGUAGGCCUAACACAUGCCAGUCGAACGGCAGCACAGUAAGAGCUUGCUCUUACGGGUGGCGAGUGGCGGACGGGUGAGGAAUACAUCGGAAUCUACUUUUUCGUGGGGGAUAACGUAGGGAAACUUACGCUAAUACCGCAUACGACCUACGGGUGAAAGCAGGGGAUCUUCGGACCUUGCGCGAUUGAAUGAGCCGAUGUCGGAUUAGCUAGUUGGCGGGGUAAAGGCCCACCAAGGCGACGAUCCGUAGCUGGUCUGAGAGGAUGAUCAGCCACACUGGAACUGAGACACGGUCCAGACUCCUACGGGAGGCAGCAGUGGGGAAUAUUGGACAAUGGGCGCAAGCCUGAUCCAGCCAUACCGCGUGGGUGAAGAAGGCCUUCGGGUUGUAAAGCCCUUUUGUUGGGAAAGAAAAGCAGCAGGUUAAUACCCCGCUGUUCCGACGGUACCCAAAGAAUAAGCACCGGCUAACUUCGU